Molecule: RNA transcript, 5894 nt
Organism: Neoarius graeffei (lesser salmon catfish)
Lineage: Eukaryota; Metazoa; Chordata; Actinopteri; Siluriformes; Ariidae
Gene: taf1c
Gene name: TATA-box binding protein associated factor, RNA polymerase I subunit C
Exons: 16
Source: RefSeq, a predicted model, not a curated record
GACACAGGGCAGAUUUUACAUAGAGCUGAGUGGUUUGGGUCCCGCGCGCGCGCGUUUGCUUUGGGGGUUGAGGCGGAACCGCGUGCUCUGUUUAUUAACACGUAAUUGUUUAUAGUUUAUAAGUCGUUUGUAGUUCCGACAUUUUAGCUUUUAUCUGUUACUGGCGGAAUGUGAAGUUGCCACAUUGCUGCAGAAAUUAGCUAACAAACCUGAAAACACACCGCACACGUGAGACGGACAUGUAAAUCAGCAGGUGGGUUUUGUUUUUCCACAUGGAUUAUAAAUUCCCGAGUCAGCUUUUCCCGCAGUUUUAUCUGAACACCCCCCAGGCUUUAGAGCCCAAGCAUGAUUACGGACACUGUGGCUCCUAUGGACAGCUGCUCGAGGCAACCAGGGGUCCAUUUCAGAGUUGUGUUGGGGGAGAGACUCCAUUCCUGUUUCAGCCCCAGCAUAAGGUGGACGGAGAGGUGUGGGUCCCCACCGAGCCGAUUGUAACACCGCUUCUCCCUCCCAACCAAGAUGCUAAAGUGUUCCGCAGUCGGCCUGCCAGUCCUGAUGACUUCGCUGAGCAUAUGCAGUAUUUCUAUGUGCAUCACUGCAUGGAUUCAUUCUCUGUGAUGGGCCAGCUGCUUGGAGAUCACUUCAGUUUUGCCAGCAGACAUAAUAAGGAUGUCAGCGGCAUGGGGAGGAUGAAGCACUUUCUAAGCAGCUUAAAUUAUAAGAAGUGCGAGUUGCGAUAUUUGCACAGGGUGAAUCACUAUCACCACCUUCUGGGUGACGUUCUCCCUGAUGUUCCCUCCUCUCUGCUGGCUGAGCUGCUGCGUGAGGAGUUGAGCCAUCAGAAGGAAUUGGAACACUUCCAACCUGCCGCAACUGGAGGCGCUCUUGCCUACAUCCCAGACCUUGAAUGUCAGAAAGAAAACAUUCUGAUUUAUCCCAGCGGAGAAGCACUAAGCACCAUCAAUUUUCACCCUAUGAAGCUGAAAUUCAGGGAAGAUAAACCUCCAGUUGUGAAGCUGGCAAAGGAGCCUCUGGUGUUCAACCUGGACGGAACAGUAAGGCAGGUCAGCACGGCCCUGGUAGAUGAUGAAGCUUAUAUAGGCUUGCGUUCAGAUCAUUUCUGUGCAGCGUGGGUUCUGAAAGCCGGUAACCGUCCUCGUCCAUUAGAGGUGGUGCAGCUGAAGGAACGAGCCACCAGUGUCAAUGUCAGUCCUCAUGUUUCUGGAGAGCUUGUCGUAGCCAGCGAAAGCGGAGCGGCUUAUCUUUGGAUUGUGGGAAAGGGGUUGCAAAAGAUCCGAGAUGAGAAGAUGAACCUGUACUUCAAUGCCAAGUCACCAUGGCGAUGGUGUGAGUUCACAGCUCAUCCACGACUGAUGGUUUACGCUGACAGGACUGGAGCAGAGCUUACAGACAUCAGGAGCAGCGAUUAUCACACAUUGUUCCGGAUCGGUGGGACGGCUGCUUGUAAGCGUGGAGAGAGGGUGGUCUUGGGCAAAUACCUAGGACAAAGCCACGGCUUCCACCACCUCUUCACCACACAGUUCUCUGCAUACCUCCUGGAUGAGCGAAUGCCUUGUGUGCCUGCCCUGAAGUGGGAGCACAUGAUGGAGACUCCUCCAUGUUUUGCCCAUGUUUUGCCAGCUGUAAGCCAAAGCAGCACCUCCAAAAUCCUGCUGGGAGCACAGAGAGCGCAGGAGACCAUGUUGUUGCAGUACUCAGGUGGAAGAGAAUGGGCCUGCCAAGCAGACGGCCCAAUUCAGAAACUCAGCAGUCCGUGUGAGAGCCUGAAGAUUCGGCAGCUACCACACAGACAGCACAAAACAAAAGCAAGGUUGGCCACACAUGCUGCAGGCCUAACUGCAACUCAGAACAAUGGCUUCCUUUGUGUGCUCCAGCUCACAGAGGCUGGGGACAUUUUCUACCAGAUGCUGAGACAUUUUGACCCAACCAACUCUGAGCCACAUCAAUCAGAUUCCGUAGAACCAGCAUCCAAUCCAAACUCUGCACUACAACCCCAAGUUUCUAUGGAAGAAGACCGCGACGAUGAGGCAGAGCGACAUCAACGUAUGCUGAGCCAAGUAGAAGUGUUUGUCAAUAACAGUGAUGAUGAGGAUGGCUCUCUUACUUUGGACGAGAACCAGGUGAGACUCCCUACAGAAAAAGGGAUUAAUUCUGAGCCUGCUUUGGUUCUUGAGUCUUCCGCGCAUUCUGCUAAGAGUGACUAUGCUCGUCCACUGAGGCCAGCGAUCCCCAAAACAGCUAGCCGUGAGUUAAGAUUAAUUUGGAAAAAAUGGCUGGAUUCCCUCUUGACGAAAACCGUAGGAAGAAAAGGUCACUUGAAACACAGGAAAAUAAAGACCAGUGAUCUAAUGCACUGUAAAGUGCAACAAAGAGACCAGCUUGAGGAGGACAAGUUUCAGAGUUUGAGGAAAGACCAGGCAGAGAUCUUGAAGACCAGGAAGCUGCUUGUUCAUGGGGUAACAUACCUACCUCCUCUAGAGGUGACCCCAGUUCCAGAUGGUGUAGACCCCAAGGCCUGGCCAGACGAUCUGAGCCAGCGCAUGAGUGCCUCAUGGAAGGAUGGUUGGAGUAACUGGUGGGAAGAAAAACUUGGCCUAAACCGGGACGCCAAGAUUGAGGCCCUGCGAAGGAAGCACCGUCUGGCAAAGAGAGCCAAAGCCAGAAACAGAGUCGCGCUUUCUUCAAGCUUCGUCUCAUCAGUCAGCUACCAAGAUGAUCUUUCUGAUUGGUCAUCAGCCACAAGUCAGUAUCCGGGUUCAGAUGCAGAGAGCAUUAUUACCUUUCUGAGUGUACCAGAGGAUGAGGCCAUUUCUGACAUCCUGGUACAAGCUAAGAGCCCAGAUUUUCAUGGAGUGAGUCAGAACACCGAAGGGUGUUCAGAUUUGACAGAACCAAUUCAAACUUCUUUGAAAAGGCCUCAGAAAACAACAAAAAGCUCUGAGCAGGACAAAGCCUCUGGUACUUCCCAGUUCCUUCCAGUGGACUUGCAACAACUGCCAAGCCAGGCCUCGCCCAUGAAAAGCAGCUCUACACUUCUUUCUUCCUCAGUGGCCAGUUUGAAAGAGUCACAUUAUGACCAUUCAAAAGUGAGAUGGUGGCAGCAGCAGGACUACCACAGUUCCCACUUUGGCUCUUCUCAAGAACUUGAGCAGGAUGACGAGGUCACAUCAUCAGUUGGUUUGAUGGCUACUAGAACGCAACCUUCUAGCUUUCGGUCACCAUUGCGAGCUUCGUUGAGGACCUCUUCACAGGCAUCUCAACCUCAAAAAAAGAAGUCACGAAUGGGAUUCUGAAUUGAUUUGGCACAGUUUAAUGCCGGAUGCCCUUCCUGACGCAACCCUCUCCAAUUUAUCCGGGCUUGGGACCGGCACCAAGAGUACGCUUAUGCACCCCCGGUGGCUGGAUGAGGUGAGGGCAGCCAUGAAAAGAAUGAAGACUAGGAAAGCAGUCGGACCAGAUGGUAUCCCAAUUUGAGGCUUGGAGAUGUUUGGGUCCACCGUGUACCUCUCACUCCAGCCGUCUUCAGGGAUCGUGGGCAGCUCCGGUGCACCACAGUAGCUGCUGUGCAGGUUCUUGGCCGUGCGCCGGGACACAAUCCACACCAGCUUCCUGUGAUUGGGUUUGGCGCAUGUAGGCGAGGAGUACUGCGCCAGGCACUGAGCCACCAGGCCUCUCCAGAGCUGUAGCUCCAUCUCUGAGAUCUGCACAUACACAUCCAGCGGCAGUUACAUAACAGACACACUCCGGGUGUAUUGUCCUGACAGCAGGUCAGGACGUUACUGAAAUUCUUUAUCUCUCAAAGACAGCAAGACAGAUUUGUUUUGAGGCAAAUGGAGCUUGCAUCACCACUGAGGACGAAUGUUAUCAUGCACCUUACUUUUAUUUCAUCUGCACUGAAGAUUUUGAUAUACACAUCAUGGUUAUAUGCCAAGGACAUGUUUUUGUUGUUAACAGACUUGCUGUCUAAAAUAAACUAGUCAUUUUUUAUAUAAUUUUACCUUCAGGUGUCUCUGAAUGGACUGGAUGAUCUCAAACAGGUCAGCUGACUGCACAGCCUCGAUCUCUUGUUUUAUGAGUGACAAAGCUAGCACCGAUGGCUACAAAGAGACGACAAAGGGAUUACAAGAAAUGUCACUGUACUCAAAAGCCCCAAAUGCAUCAUUGAUUUGUAGUGCAAAUACAUACUUUUGCUUUUGAGAAUACAAUGCGGCAAAGGCAGGCUUUAAGCUGGGCUUCCAGCUUGUCUAAACUGAGGACUUCUUUCCUGAAAAGAAACAAGAUAUGCUUUUAUUAGGUCUAAUCUGCCUUAAGGUACAUCUUCAUUUUUUAUAUUUAGAGAUGUUGCAUAAUAAACCAGCCUGUUUGCUAUCUAUGCCCUUUGGUAUAUGGCAGUGUCUGCUGAUAAUUUAGUUUAUGAGAUAACUAAAGCAGAUCUGACCUACAUAAUGCACACUGGACUUAAAUGAUAUUCAUUUGCCUGCUACUUUCUAUUGUCAACAGUUCUAGUGUUCUUUCCUACUGUAUGAAACGGAGAUACAUUUUCCUCAUGCGUUUCUCACCUGCUUGAGGUAUGCGACAGGACAAUCGCAUGGUACAGGUGCAGGAACGUUAAGGCUGUGAUGGCUUGAAACUGGAAGUUGAGUUUCUCAGAGAUGAUUUUCUCCAUGCGCCCAAGGUCCGACACUGUGAACGUGCACUGGCUGAUGCGGAUCAGCUCGUGUGUUGACGACACAUCACACUUGUCCUCCACCACUUUGGCAGCAAUAUGGAGGCAGCCAAUGCUGAUACAAGCCAAAUGUUUGGGCUGAACCUUUAAGGCAGAUAAAGAAGUUGCACUUUAAUUGGUAUUUGUAGUGAGCGAGUUUAGUAUAGGGCAAGUUUUACUAAAAUGCUUGAAUAUAUAAUGUUAUUUACCAGCUAGGAGGUCCAGAUCAUGAAAUACCAUGACCGAGGCCAUGGUAUUUCACCAUACGGACCAACCUUAAGCUGGUAAAUAUUUUUUCUUUACCAAAUUCUAACAGAAAACGAGAGCGCUCGAAAGGGAAAACCGAGCCGCCAUUUUGAAUCCUCAUUCACGGCUGUAAUGCAAAUUGCUUCCUCCUCAGUAUACAAGUACACUUCCAUAGCAGGAAAAAAAGCUACAUUUUGCUGCCUAUGUAGUCCCCUAUUUAUACAAAAUUGAGUCAUUCAGGAUUCAGCAAUGUUUUUGCUCGGCGUUGGCAACAGUUAGGUUUUUUAUUUCUUCUUCCUCAGAGUAGUAAAACUCGCUUUCGCUGUGAACACUCUCGUUAUCACUAUCCGUGAUGUAAAAUUAAUGCUGCUAUUCUGAGAAAUGCUGGCAAAAAUUUAAGAUUUUUGAUAAUUAAAAAAAAAAUGUUGACAAAAAAAAUUCUACAAAGUUUGUUGUGAACAAGCAAGUUGCCAGAGGUCCAUAACCGGGGUCCGCUCGCCAGCCAAUCAGAGCGCAGGAUUUGAUGGAACCCGUACCGCAAAAAAAACCUUCAAAUAUUUAGCAUCAAACUCAGGGUUUGGUUACUGUGUUUUUUUUUUUUAAUUAUUGAAAAUGACUGACAAGUGUUUUGUAAAAGCAUGCAUGCGUACCUUCAUCAUAGCUAGAAAUCUGUCCAGCAGAUUAACAGCCAGGACGAAAGUGUGUGUGCUGUAGCCAAAGAAACUGGUCAAGCUCCAGAGAUCCUCCACCUUGGCGUUGCGACAUUUUGCAGAAAUUCCCUUCCCCUGGUACAGAACAAAAGUAAUCUUAAUUAUGCUUGUAUAUUUAGAAAAUUCUCUCCCUUUUUUUUUUUAAACACUUAUGUAUGAUUGUACUUUUUAAUGGCACAGGCUGUAAAAUGUAAAGAUUUUUAUAAUAAUCA